ACUUCUACUAAAUUCACACAAAAAAUAGAAAGCUCCUUGAGUAUGUAAUAAUCAGAGGCAAAAAAAAAUGUGGAUUUUGGAGAAAUCUGGGGCUAGUAUGCUCUUUUCAGACUUCAAGAUCAACCAUCCCACAUAG
This 136-nucleotide small nucleolar RNA is filed under the name Jaculus jaculus (lesser Egyptian jerboa). RNAcentral's name for it is "Small nucleolar RNA SNORA38 (ENSJJAG00000002533.1)". The record is from RNAcentral. Lineage: Eukaryota; Metazoa; Chordata; Mammalia; Rodentia; Dipodidae.